RNAcentral lists this ribosomal RNA (465 nucleotides) under Vreelandella stevensii. Its description in RNAcentral is "partial 16S ribosomal RNA". It matches the Rfam family "Bacterial small subunit ribosomal RNA", at positions 338 to 795 of the family's 1533-position model. The record is from RNAcentral. Lineage: Bacteria; Pseudomonadati; Pseudomonadota; Gammaproteobacteria; Oceanospirillales; Halomonadaceae.
CCUACGGGCGGCUGCAGUGGGGAAUAUUGGACAAUGGGGGCAACCCUGAUCCAGCCAUGCCGCGUGUGUGAAGAAGGCCCUCGGGUUGUAAAGCACUUUCAGUGAGGAAGAACGCCUGGUGGUUAAUACCCAUCAGGAAAGACAUCACUCACAGAAGAAGCACCGGCUAACUCCGUGCCAGCAGCCGCGGUAAUACGGAGGGUGCGAGCGUUAAUCGGAAUUACUGGGCGUAAAGCGCGCGUAGGUGGCUUGAUAAGCCGGUUGUGAAAGCCCCGGGCUCAACCUGGGAACAGCAUCCGGAACUGUCAAGCUAGAGUGCAGGAGAGGAAGGUAGAAUUCCCGGUGUAGCGGUUAAAUGCGUAGAGAUCGGGAGGAAUACCAGUGGCGAAGGCGGCCUUCUGGACUGACACUGACACUGAGGUGCGAAAGCGUGGGUAGCAAACAGGAUUAGAUACCCGUGUAGUC